GUUAGAUAGAAAAUGGAACCUCGGCACUCCGGUGAUCACCUGAGACAAGGUCCGACGAGAGGAGGAGGCACACACAGGUUUUCCCGACGCUCGAACACCUGUGCAGCCAGAACGGCGCGCUCUCUGUAUUACUGGCAAGCUCGAACUCGCCCUGCCUCUCCCAGCCUUACAACGACACCCACACGGGUUCUUAUACCCAGGCCCAGCGCCGGCAACAACCUUGCGCUCCCGCCUCCCCACGCGGACGAACUGCUCCCGCUCUAACCGCGGCCACCUCGCGCACGCCUGCGCGCUGAUGGCGUCGAGCCAGCUCGAUCGCCCGCCGUAGACUCCCGGUCCAAGUCGCGAUCCUAAAACUACGGUGAGCCACACGCACGCACCCACGCACGCCCUAGCAGAACGCAACACACGCACGCACCCUGCCACGAAUCCGUCGUGGCCCGUGCACGCGCACAUGCGCUCCUCCGCCGCGGUCCGACGCGCCCGACACAUCGAGCUCGUGCCCAUACACGCGCUGGACGUGUCCAACGCCUCGCCGCGGCUUAUUGACCCCAACAAUCUCGCCCUAAGACGCGGCUCAGAGCAGGCCGGCAUCCUCGACGUCGCCGUCGACCAGCAGUGCAUGCUCCGCCACCGGCGCCUUCUUCCACUGCGGGCACUCGCGUUUGAAGUGCCCGCGUUCACCGCACUUGUAGCAGCGGCCGCGCCGUUUCCCGCCGAAGCCCGACGCCUCGCUGCGCGCCCCGUCGUCGUCGUCAUCUCCAUGCGCACCGCCCCGACGCCGCUCGCGCCCACGCCACUGUGCCAUGAUCAGCAACAGCUGCUCGCCGCCGCGAUCGCCGCCGUCUUGCCCACGCCUCCGCAGCCUCUCGUCGAAUGCCUUGAGACGACCCAGCGCGUCCUCGAAGAGCAUCUCCGACACGUCGCAAAACUGCUCGAUCCCUGCCACCGCCGCGUACAGGCGGUCCGGCACCGAGUCGAGCAGCUUCUUCACGAGCGCGGAGUCCUCCAGGGUUGAGCCCAGCGCCGCGUACCGCGCUGCCAUGCCUCCAAGCCUGCCGGCGAACGCGUCAAGGGUCUCGGACUCCGCCAUGCGCAGGAGCUCGAACUCCCCCCGAAGUGUGCCGAGCCUCGCCGCACGCACGCGGUCCGCGCCUACGAACCUAGCCCGCAAGCUCGCCCAAAUCUCCGCCGCCGUCUUCUUCGACGCGACUUGCAGCAGCAAAUCGUCGGCGAGCGCUCGCAGCAGAUAGGCGCCCGCCGGUUUGUCCUUCUUCGCGAUCACCGCCGACGCUGCUUCCUCCGGCGGAACCAUCGCCUCCCAGAGCCCGGCAGCGUCGAGGUCCGCCUCCACCUUGAUAGCCCAGGUGGUGUAGUUUUCCCCCGUCAGCAGAGGAACCAACGUCGACAUCGUCGUCCCCGUCCCGCCGGAGUACGGGACCAGCGCCAUGGACGUCGAGCUCCCCGGUCGCGCGUGGCUCUGAUGCCAAAUGUUAGAUAGAAAAUGGAACCUCGGCACUCCGGUGAUCACCUGAGACAAGGUCCGACGAGAGGAGGAGGCACACACAGGUUUUCCCGACGCUCGAACACCUGUGCCGCCAGAACGGCGCGCUCUCUGUAUUACUGGCAAGCUCGAACUCGCCCUGCCUCUCCCAGCCUUACAACGACACCCACACGGGUUCUUAUACCCAGGCCCAG
RNAcentral lists this long non-coding RNA (1698 nucleotides) under Hordeum vulgare. Its description in RNAcentral is "long non-coding RNA (HVUL_LNC011220)". The record is from RNAcentral. Lineage: Eukaryota; Viridiplantae; Streptophyta; Magnoliopsida; Poales; Poaceae.